Molecule: small RNA, 1726 nt
Filed under: Pongo abelii (Sumatran orangutan)
Lineage: Eukaryota; Metazoa; Chordata; Mammalia; Primates; Hominidae
Description: retained intron
Source: RNAcentral
GAAUUCGGGGCAAGGGACAAAAAUACAGCAACAGGAGAAAAGACUCACAGAGGUAGAAAGAGACUGGGAGACAAAAAGAGAGAAACAUAUCAAAAAGAUGUGGAGAGAGAGAUAGAAACAGAGCCAGGCAGAGUAAAAAGAGGCUGAGAGAGAUGAGUUAGAGAUAUGCAGCUGGAUAUGUAGAGGACAGAGAAAAGCAAAUUGGGCCAGAUAGUGUCAAAGACCUUUAGGCAAAUGGAGGGCAGCCAGGGACACAGGCGUGUGCACAGCAAGGCUAUAACCUCUCCUGACCCUUACCUCCCCUCCCUACUGUGGACGCAGGAGAAAUCCAACCCACACAGUGAAUUCAGCCACCAGAACCUCAUCAUCAACACGCUCUCACUCUUCUUUGCUGGCACUGAGACCACCAGCACCACUCUCUGCUACGGCUUCCUGCUCAUGCUCAAAUACCCUCAUGUCGCAGAGAGAGUCUACAAGGAGAUUGAACAGGUGGUUGGCCCACAUUGCCCUCCAGUGCUUGAUGACCGAGCCAAAAUGCCAUACACAGAGGCAGUCAUCCAUGAGAUUCAGAGAUUUGCCGACCUUCUCCCCAUGGGUGUGCCCCACAUUGUCACCCAACACACCAGGUUCCGAGGGUACAUCAUCCCCAAGGGAAGCGCAUUUGUCUUGGUGAAGGCAUUGCCCGUGCCGAAUUAUUCCUCUUCUUCACCACCAUCCUCCAGAACUUCUCCGUGGCCAGCCCCGUGGCUCCUGAAGACAUCGAUCUGACACCCCAGGAGUGUGGCGUGGGCAAAAUACCCCCAACAUACCAGAUCCGCUUCCUGCCCCACUGAAGGGGCUGAGGGAAGGGGGUCAAAGGAUUCCAGGGUCAUUCAGUGUCUCCGACUCUGUAGACAAUGGCUCUGACUCCCCGCAACUUCCUGCCUCUGAGAGACCUGCUGCAAGCCAGCUUCCUUCCCUCCAUGGCACCUGUUGUCUGAGGUCACAUUGCGAGUGAGUGGAGGAGUGAGAUUAUUGAAAAUUAUAAUAUACAAAAUUAUAUAUAUAUAUAUGUUCUUUUUUUUUGAGACAGAGUCUCACACUGUUGCCCAGGCUGGAGUGCAGUGGCGUGAUCUCAGCUCACUGCAACCUCCACCCCCAGGGUUCAUGCAAUUCUCCUGCCUCAGCCUUCCUAGUCGCGGGGAUUACAGAUGUGUGCUACCACGCCUGGCUAAUUUUUGUAUUUUUAGUAGAGACGGGGUUUCACCGUGUUGGCCAGGCUGGUCUCAAACUCCUGAACUCAAGUGAUUCACCCGCCUUGGCCUCCCAAAGUGCUGGGAUUACAGGUGUGAGUCACCGUGCCCAGCCAUGUAUAUAUAUAAUUUUAAAAAUUAAGAUGAAAUUCACGUAAAAUAAAAUUAGCCAUUUUAAAGUGUAAAAUUUAGUGGCAUGUGGUUCAUUCACAAAGCUGUACAACCACCACCAUCUAGUUCCAAACAUUUUCUUUUUUUCUGAGAUGGAGUCUCACUCUGUUGCCCAGGCUGGAGUUCAGUGGUCUUGAACUCCUGAUGUCAGGUGAUUCUCCUAGUUCCAAAUGUUUUCAUUAUCUCCCCCAAAACAAAACCCAUACCUAUCGAGCUGUCACUCCCCAUACCCCAUUCUCUUUUUCAUUUCAGCCUCUGCCAAUCUGGUUUUUGUCCCUAUGGACUUACCAAUUCUGAAUAUUUCCUGUAAACAGAAUCACACA